RNAcentral lists this ribosomal RNA (303 nucleotides) under uncultured bacterium. RNAcentral describes it as "partial 16S ribosomal RNA". It matches the Rfam family "Bacterial small subunit ribosomal RNA", at positions 507 to 807 of the family's 1533-position model. The record is from RNAcentral.
AGCAGUCGCCGCGGUAAUACGUAGGGUGCAAGCGUUAUCCGGAAUUAUUGGGCGUAAAGAGCUCGUAGGCGGUUUGUCGCGUCUGCUGUGAAAACUGGAGGCUCAACCUCCAGCCUGCAGUGGGUACGGGCAGACUAGAGUGCGGUAGGGGAGAUUGGAAUUCCUGGUGUAGCGGUGGAAUGCGCAGAUAUCAGGAGGAACACCGAUGGCGAAGGCAGAUCUCUGGGCCGUAACUGACGCUGAGGAGCGAAAGCAUGGGGAGCGAACAGGAUUAGAUACCCCAGUAGUCCCUGUCUCUUAUAC